This 177-nucleotide ribosomal RNA is filed under the name uncultured bacterium. RNAcentral's name for it is "partial 16S ribosomal RNA". It matches the Rfam family "Bacterial small subunit ribosomal RNA", at positions 335 to 524 of the family's 1533-position model. The record is from RNAcentral.
ACUCCUACGGGAGGCAGCAGUGGGGAAUCUUGCACAAUGGGCGAAAGCCUGAUGCAGCGACGCCGCGUGAGGGAUGACGGCCUUCGGGUUGUAAACCUCUUUCAGCAGGGAAGAAGCGAGAGUGACAGUACCUGCAGAAGAAGCGCCGGCUAACUACGUGCCAGCAGCCGCGGUAAU